CCUACGGGCGGCAGCAGUGAGGAAUAUUGGUCAAUGGGCGAGAGCCUGAACCAGCCAAGUCGCGUGAGGGAGUACUGCCCUAUGGGUUGUAAACCUCUUUUGUCGGGGAGCAAAAGCCGGACGUGUCCGGCUGUGAGAGUACCCGAAGAAAAAGCAUCGGCUAACUCCGUGCCAGCAGCCGCGGUAAUACGUAGGGGGCGAGCGUUAUCCGGAUUCAUUGGGCGUAAAGCGCGCGUAGGCGGCCUGUUAGGUCGGGGGUCAAAUACCGGGGCUCAACCCCGGUCCGCCCCCGAUCCCGGCAGGCUUGAGUCUGGUAGGGGAAGGCGGAAUUCCCAGUGUAGCGGUGGAAUGCGCAGAUAUUGGGAAGAACACCGAUUGCGAAGGCAGCUUACUAAACUGUGACUGACAUUGAUGCUCGAAAGUGUGGGUAUCAAACAGGAUUAGAUACCCGAGUAGUC
RNAcentral lists this ribosomal RNA (458 nucleotides) under uncultured bacterium. RNAcentral's name for it is "partial 16S ribosomal RNA". It matches the Rfam family "Bacterial small subunit ribosomal RNA", at positions 338 to 795 of the family's 1533-position model. The record is from RNAcentral.